This 150-nucleotide unclassified non-coding RNA is filed under the name uncultured Dissoconium. Its description in RNAcentral is "sequence contains ITS1". Lineage: Eukaryota; Fungi; Ascomycota; Dothideomycetes; Mycosphaerellales; Dissoconiaceae. The record is from RNAcentral.
CCAGAAGCCGCGUCGGCCGCAAGGCCGGCGCCUUCGCCCAACCCUUUGUGAACCGAAUUGAUUGCCCCGGGGGAUCCCGCGCGAGCGGGCCCCCGGCGGACCUCUUCAACUCUUGUUGUCCCUGCCGUCCGAGUCAUUGCAAAUGAAACA